UACGGGGGGGGCAAGCGUUGUUCGGAAUUACUGGGCGUAAAGGGCUCGUAGGCGGCCAACUAAGUCGGAUGUGAAAUCCCCAGGCUUAACCUGGGAACUGCAUCCGAUACUGGAUGGCUUGAAUCCGGGAGAGGGAUGCGGAAUUCCAGGUGUAGCGGUGAAAUGCGUAGAUAUCUGGAGGAACACCGACGGCGUAGGCAGCGCCCUGGACGACACCUGACGCUGAGGCACGAAAGCUGGGGGAGCGAACAGG
This 253-nucleotide ribosomal RNA is filed under the name uncultured bacterium. Its description in RNAcentral is "partial 16S ribosomal RNA". It matches the Rfam family "Bacterial small subunit ribosomal RNA", at positions 524 to 776 of the family's 1533-position model. The record is from RNAcentral.